RNAcentral lists this ribosomal RNA (512 nucleotides) under uncultured bacterium. RNAcentral describes it as "partial 16S ribosomal RNA". It matches the Rfam family "Bacterial small subunit ribosomal RNA", at positions 28 to 523 of the family's 1533-position model. The record is from RNAcentral.
GACGAACGCUGGCGGCGUGCCUAAUACAUGCAAGUCGAGCGGAACUGGGGGAGCUUGCUCCUUCCAGUUUAGCGGCGGACGGGUGAGUAACACGUGGGCAACCUGCCCUGCAGAUCGGGAUAACUCCGGGAAACCGGUGCUAAUACCGAAUAGUUUGGCGCCUCUCCUGAGGCGCUACGGAAAGACGGUUUCGGCUGUCACUGCAGGCUGGGCCCGCGGCGCAUUAGCUAGUUGGUGGGGUAACGGCCCGCCAAGGCGACGAUGCGUAGCCGACCUGAGAGGGUGACCGGCCACACUGGGACUGAGACACGGCCCAGACUCCUACGGGAGGCAGCAGUAGGGAAUCUUCCGCAAUGGACGCGAGUCUGACGGAGCAACGCCGCGUGAGUGACGAAGGUUUUCGGAUCGUAAAACUCUGUUGUGAGGGAAGAACACGUACCAACUAACUAUUGGUACCUUGACGGUACCUCACCAGAAAGCCACGGCUAACUACGUGCCAGCCGCCGCCGUAA